This 863-nucleotide ribosomal RNA is filed under the name human gut metagenome. RNAcentral describes it as "bacterial SSU rRNA". It matches the Rfam family "Bacterial small subunit ribosomal RNA", at positions 53 to 917 of the family's 1533-position model. The record is from RNAcentral.
ACAUGCAAGUCGAACGCUUCACAUCGGUGAAGAGUGGCGAACGGGUGAGUAAUACAUAAGUAACCUGGCAUCUACAGGGGGAUAACUGAUGGAAACGUCAGCUAAGACCGCAUAGGUGUAGAGAUCGCAUGAACUCUAUAUGAAAAGUGCUACGGGACUGGUAGAUGAUGGACUUAUGGCGCAUUAGCUUGUUGGUAGGGUAACGGCCUACCAAGGCGACGAUGCGUAGCCGACCUGAGAGGGUGACCGGCCACACUGGGACUGAGACACGGCCCAGACUCCUACGGGAGGCAGCAGUAGGGAAUUUUCGGCAAUGGGGGAAACCCUGACCGAGCAACGCCGCGUGAAGGAAGAAGUAAUUCGUUAUGUAAACUUCUGUCAUAGAGGAAGAACGGUGGAUAUAGGGAAUGAUAUCCAAGUGACGGUACUCUAUAAGAAAGCCACGGCUAACUACGUGCCAGCAGCCGCGGUAAUACGUAGGUGGCGAGCGUUAUCCGGAAUUAUUGGGCGUAAAGAGGGAGCAGGCGGCACUAAGGGUCUGUGGUGAAAGAUCGAAGCUUAACUUCGGUAAGCCAUGGAAACCGUAGAGCUAGAGUGUGUGAGAGGAUCGUGGAAUUCCAUGUGUAGCGGUGAAAUGCGUAGAUAUAUGGAGGAACACCAGUGGCGAAGGCGACGAUCUGGCGCAUAACUGACGCUCAGUCCCGAAAGCGUGGGGAGCAAAUAGGAUUAGAUACCCUAGUAGUCCACGCCGUAAACGAUGAGUACUAAGUGUUGGGUGUCAAAGCUCAGUGCUGCAGUUAACGCAAUAAGUACUCCGCCUGAGUAGUACGUUCGCAAGAAUGAAACUCAAAGGAAUUGACGGG